This 360-nucleotide ribosomal RNA is filed under the name uncultured eukaryote. RNAcentral describes it as "partial 18S ribosomal RNA". It matches the Rfam family "Eukaryotic small subunit ribosomal RNA", at positions 1470 to 1796 of the family's 1831-position model. The record is from RNAcentral.
CCCUUAGAUGUUCUGGGCCGCACGCGCGCUACACUGAUGCAUGCAACGAGUUCCUUUGAUUUGGGUUGGGAGUCUCUCCCACCUCACUUCUAUCCUUGGCCGAGAGGCCCGGGCACUCUUGUGAACCUGCAUCGUGACGGGGCUAGAUCUUUGCAAUUAUGGAUCUUCAACGAGGAAUGCCUAGUAGGCGUUGGUCAUCAGCCAGCGUCGAUUACGUCCCUGCCCUUUGUACACACCGCCCGUCGCUCCUACCGAUUGAAUGUUCCGGUGAGCUCUUCGGACUGCGCGGUCUGCAGUUUCUGCGUUCCGUGCGGAAAGUUGCGCAAACCUUAACAUUUAGAGGAAGGAGAAGUCGUAACA